This 497-nucleotide ribosomal RNA is filed under the name uncultured bacterium. Its description in RNAcentral is "partial 16S ribosomal RNA". It matches the Rfam family "Bacterial small subunit ribosomal RNA", at positions 28 to 507 of the family's 1533-position model. The record is from RNAcentral.
GAUGAACGCUGGCGGCGUGCCUAAUACAUGCAAGUCGAGCGAACAGAUGCGGAGCUUGCUCCUCUGACGUUAGCGGCGGACGGGUGAGUAACACGUGGAUAACCUCCCUAUAAGACUGGGAUAACUUCGGGAAACCGGCGCUAAUCCCGGAUAAUAUAUUGAACCGCAUGGUUCAAUAGUGAAAGACGGUUUUGCUGUCACUUAUAGAUGGAUCUGCGCCGCAUUAGCUAGUUGGUAAGGUAACGGCUUACCAAGGCAACGAUGCGUAGCCGACCUGAGAGGGGGAGCGGCCACACUGGAACUGAGACACGGUCCAGACUCCUACGGGAGGCAGCAGUAGGGAAUCGUCCGCAAUGGGCGAAAGCCAGACGGAGCAACGCCGCGUGAUGGAUGAAGGUCUUCGGAUCGUAAAACUCUGUUAUUAGGGAAGAACAAAUGUGUAAGUAACUAUGCACGUCUUGACGGUACCUAAUCAGAAAGCCACGGCUAACUACGUG